GAUGAACGCUGGCGGCGUGCCUAAUACAUGCGAGUCGAGCGAACGGACGAGAAGCUUGCUUUUCUGAUGUUAGCGGCGGACGGGUGAGUAACACGUGGAUAACCUACCUAUAAGACUGGGAUAACUUCGGGAAACCGGAGCUAAUACCGGAUAAUAUUUUGAACCGCAUGGUUCAAAAGUGAAAGACGGUCUUGCUGUCACUUAUAGAUGGAUCCGCGCUGCAUUAGCUAGUUGGUAAGGUAACGGCUUACCAAGGCAACGAUGCAUAGCCGACCUGAGAGGGUGAUCGGCCACACUGGAACUGAGACACGGUCCAGACUCCUACGGGAGGCAGCAGUAGGGAAUCUUCCGCAAUGGGCGAAAGCCUGACGGAGCAACGCCGCGUGAGUGAUGAAGGUCUUCGGAUCGUAAAACUCUGUUAUUAGGGAAGAACAUAUGUGUAAGUAACUGUGCACAUCUUGACGGUACCUAAUCAGAAAGCCACGGCUAGCUACGUG
RNAcentral lists this ribosomal RNA (497 nucleotides) under uncultured bacterium. RNAcentral describes it as "partial 16S ribosomal RNA". It matches the Rfam family "Bacterial small subunit ribosomal RNA", at positions 28 to 507 of the family's 1533-position model. The record is from RNAcentral.